Molecule: long non-coding RNA, 215 nt
Filed under: Elaeis guineensis (African oil palm)
Lineage: Eukaryota; Viridiplantae; Streptophyta; Magnoliopsida; Arecales; Arecaceae
Description: long non-coding RNA (EGUI_LNC082797)
Source: RNAcentral
GGGUCCGCCCAUUGCUUUUCUUAGAUACUAAUAAAAUUGGCUAGGCCAGCAAUGGAAUCAAUUAAAUAACCACCACACUUGAAACACUCCUUAGACACCAAUUAAUUAAUCGAUUCAAAAAAAUAGUUCAGCUUGUGGUUCACAACACUAUGACUUAAUAAGAUUUUUAUGAGGGAUUUAAUGGUCUCAAAAACAUCCUAAAUCAAUCAAUCACA